UCUGCCUGGUAGUGGGGGAUAACGUUCGGAAACGAACGCUAAUACCGCAUACGUCCUACGGGAGAAAGCAGGGGACCUUCGGGCCUUGCGCUAUCAGAUGAGCCUAGGUCGGAUUAGCUAGUUGGUGGGGUAAUGGCUCACCAAGGCGACGAUCCGUAACUGGUCUGAGAGGAUGAUCAGUCACACUGGAACUGAGACACGGUCCAGACUCCUACGGGAGGCAGCAGUGGGGAAUAUUGGACAAUGGGCGAAAGCCUGAUCCAGCCAUGCCGCGUGUGUGAAGAAGGUCUUCGGAUUGUAAAGCACUUUAAGUUGGGAGGAAGGGCCAUUACCUAAUACGUGAUGGUUUUGACGUUACCGACAGAAUAAGCACCGGCUAACUCUGUGCCAGCAGCCGCGGUAAUACAGAGGGUGCAAGCGUUAAUCGGAAUUACUGGGCGUAAAGCGCGCGUAGGUGGUUUGUUAAGUUGGAUGUGAAAUCCCCGGGCUCAACCUGGGAACUGCAUUCAAAACUGACUGACUAGAGUAUGGUAGAGGGUGGUGGAAUUUCCUGUGUAGCGGUGAAAUGCGUAGAUAUAGGAAGGAACACCAGUGGCGAAGGCGACCACCUGGACUGAUACUGACACUGAGGUGCG
Molecule: ribosomal RNA, 635 nt
Filed under: Pseudomonas sp.
Lineage: Bacteria; Pseudomonadati; Pseudomonadota; Gammaproteobacteria; Pseudomonadales; Pseudomonadaceae
Description: bacterial SSU rRNA
Rfam family: Bacterial small subunit ribosomal RNA
Source: RNAcentral